This 921-nucleotide ribosomal RNA is filed under the name Microbacterium sp. HBUM178422. RNAcentral describes it as "bacterial SSU rRNA". It matches the Rfam family "Bacterial small subunit ribosomal RNA", at positions 34 to 966 of the family's 1533-position model. Lineage: Bacteria; Bacillati; Actinomycetota; Actinomycetes; Micrococcales; Microbacteriaceae. The record is from RNAcentral.
UGCUUGGCGGGCGUGCUUACACAUGCAGUCGAACGGUGAAGCCAAGCUUGCUUGGUGGAUCAGUGGCGAACGGGUGAGUAACACGUGAGCAACCUGCCCUGGACUCUGGGAUAAGCGCUGGAAACGGCGUCUAAUACUGGAUAUGAGACGUGAUCGCAUGGUCGUGUUUGGAAAGAUUUUUCGGUCUGGGAUGGGCUCGCGGCCUAUCAGCUUGUUGGUGAGGUAAUGGCUCACCAAGGCGUCGACGGGUAGCCGGCCUGAGAGGGUGACCGGCCACACUGGGACUGAGACACGGCCCAGACUCCUACGGGAGGCAGCAGUGGGGAAUAUUGCACAAUGGGCGAAAGCCUGAUGCAGCAACGCCGCGUGAGGGAUGACGGCCUUCGGGUUGUAAACCUCUUUUAGCAGGGAAGAAGCGAAAGUGACGGUACCUGCAGAAAAAGCGCCGGCUAACUACGUGCCAGCAGCCGCGGUAAUACGUAGGGCGCAAGCGUUAUCCGGAAUUAUUGGGCGUAAAGAGCUCGUAGGCGGUUUGUCGCGUCUGCUGUGAAAUCCCGAGGCUCAACCUCGGGCCUGCAGUGGGUACGGGCAGACUAGAGUGCGGUAGGGGAGAUUGGAAUUCCUGGUGUAGCGGUGGAAUGCGCAGAUAUCAGGAGGAACACCGAUGGCGAAGGCAGAUCUCUGGGCCGUAACUGACGCUGAGGAGCGAAAGGGUGGGGAGCAAACAGGCUUAGAUACCCUGGUAGUCCACCCCGUAAACGUUGGGAACUAGUUGUGGGGACCAUUCCACGGUUUCCGUGACGCAGCUAACGCAUUAAGUUCCCCGCCUGGGGAGUACGGCCGCAAGGCUAAAACUCAAAGGAAUUGACGGGGACCCGCACAAGCGGCGGAGCAUGCGGAUUAAUUCGAUGCAACGCGAAG